AGUGAACGCUGGCGGUAGGCCUAACACAUGCAAGUCGAACGGCAGCACAGUAAGAGCUUGCUCUUACGGGUGGCGAGUGGCGGACGGGUGAGGAAUACAUCGGAAUCUACUUUUUCGUGGGGGAUAACGUGGGGAAACUUACGCUAAUACCGCAUACGACCUACGGGUGAAAGUAGGGGAUCUUCGGACCUUGCGCGAUUGAAUGAGCCGAUGUCGGAUUAGCUAGUUGGCGGGGUAAAGGCCCACCAAGGCGACGAUCCGUAGCUGGUCUGAGAGGAUGAUCAGCCACACUGGAACUGAGACACGGUCCAGACUCCUACGGGAGGCAGCAGUGGGGAAUAUUGGACAAUGGGCGCAAGCCUGAUCCAGCCAUACCGCGUGGGUGAAGAAGGCCUUCGGGUUGUAAAGCCCUUUUGUUGGGAAAGAAAAGCAGCAGGUUAAUACCCCGCUGUUCUGACGGUACCCAAAGAAUAAGCACCGGCUAACUUCGUG
RNAcentral lists this ribosomal RNA (492 nucleotides) under uncultured bacterium. RNAcentral describes it as "partial 16S ribosomal RNA". It matches the Rfam family "Bacterial small subunit ribosomal RNA", at positions 29 to 507 of the family's 1533-position model. The record is from RNAcentral.